This 324-nucleotide ribosomal RNA is filed under the name Triticum aestivum (bread wheat). RNAcentral's name for it is "partial small subunit ribosomal RNA". The record is from RNAcentral. Lineage: Eukaryota; Viridiplantae; Streptophyta; Magnoliopsida; Poales; Poaceae.
AUGGCGCAGCCGGCGAUCCCAGAUGAACUCCUGGAGGAGAUCUUCAUCCGCCUCCCCACGGCCGCCGACCUCGCGCGCGCCUCCGCGGCCUGCGUCUCCUUCCGUCGCGUCAUCACCGGCCAUCCCUUCCUCCGCCGGUUCCGCACCCUCCACCCGCCGCCUCUCCUCGGCAUUGUCGGCGGCAGCCUCAUCCUCGCCAAGCCGCCUCACCCUUCCGCCGCCGCGGCAGCCACCUUUGCCGACGCCGACAUUCUGCUGGGAGGUUUUUCUGGAAGACACGCUGCUCGUGCUCGAUGCACAAAGGAUGGAGUUCUCCGCUGUUGA